RNAcentral lists this ribosomal RNA (2871 nucleotides) under Ephemera sp. EP186. Its description in RNAcentral is "eukaryotic LSU rRNA". It matches the Rfam family "Eukaryotic large subunit ribosomal RNA", at positions 34 to 1838 of the family's 3401-position model. Lineage: Eukaryota; Metazoa; Arthropoda; Insecta; Ephemeroptera; Ephemeridae. The record is from RNAcentral.
UUAGGCAUAUUAGUAAGCGGAGGAAAAGAAACUAACAAGGAUUCCCCGAGUAACGGCGAGCGAAAGGGGAAGAGCCCAGCGCUGAAUCCCCCGGUGCUGCAGUGCCGGCGGGAAAUGUAGCGUAUAGGAGGGUCGAAUCUCUCGGUGUGUCGCGGCCGGUCCAAAUCCCUCUUGAAGGGGGUCACGGUCCCGAGAGGGUGCCAGGCCUGUGGGACGGUCGCGGCCUCCGAGAAGACCUCUCCUGUGAGUCGGGUUGCUUGAGAGUGCAGCCCUAAGACAGGUGGUAAACUCCAUCUAAGGCUAAAUACAACCACGAGACCGAUAGUAAACAAGUACCGUGAGGGAAAGUUGAAAAGAACUUUGAAGAGAGAGUUCAAGAGUACGUGAAACCGUUCUGGGGUAAACGGGUGGAGCCCUAACGCUCGAACGAGGGGAUUCAGUAUCCAGUCCUGCCUACGCCACGGGGCGAGGGAAGUGCUCGGCGCCGCCUUCGGGCGGUCCCCGGCGACCCUCGUCUCGUUCUCGCGCUAGGUGGGGGGAGCGCACUUCCCCUCUAGUAGGACGCCGUGACCCGUUGGGUGUCCGCCUAAGGCCGGGGCGGGAGCCCGUAGCCCUCCGUGGCUGCGGACCCCCCGCGACCCGGCGGAACGCCCGACGGUUGUUCUUCACGGGUUCAUCUGCCCGCGAGCUUUCACGGCUCGCGCACGUUCCUCUGGCGAGCGUGCGUCGGGACCUCGCUUAGCGGACUCGUUCCGCGGCGAACCCGCCGCCGCUGUCUUGCCGGAGGGCUUCUCGUGCAGCAGGCAGUCCCGUCGACGGCGGAGAAAAAGGGUGGCCCACCCGGCCCGUCUUGAAACACGGACCAAGGAGUCUAACACGCACGCGAGUCGUCGGGCACCACAAAACCCGAGGGCGCAUUGAACGAAAAGGCAGGUCCUCGCGGCCAGCCGAGGGAUGAUGGGAGCCCCCUCGGGGGCUCCUCGCAAUCCCGGGGCGUCUCGUCCUACGCGCGCUCGUCGCGCGAAGGUGAGGCGCACCAUGAGCGUGCGCGUUGGUACCCGAAAGAUGGUGAACUAUGCCUGGCCAGGACGAAGUCAGGGGAAACCCUGAUGGAGGUCCGUAGCGAUUCUGACGUGCAAAUCGAUCGUCAGAGCUGGGUAUAGGGGCGAAAGACUAAUCGAACCAUCUAGUAGCUGGUUCCCUCCGAAGUUUCCCUCAGGAUAGCUGGCACUCGGAGAUGGAAUCCCAUCCGGUAAAGCGAAUGAUUAGAGGCCGUGGGAUCGAAACGAUUUCAACCUAUUCUCAAACUUUAAAUGGGUGGGAUCCGCGGCUUGCUUGAAAGUGAAGCCGCGGACCCGGAUCAGAGUGCCCAGUGGGCCACUUUUGGUAAGCAGAACUGGCGCUGUGGGAUGAACCAAACGCCGGGUUAAGGCGCCAAAAUCGACGCUCAUUCGACACCAUGAAAGGUGUUGGUUGCUUAAGACAGCAGGACGGUGGCCAUGGAAGUCGGAAUCCGCUAAGGAGUGUGUAACAACUCACCUGCCGAAGCAACUAGCCCUGAAAAUGGAUGGCGCUGAAGCGUCGUGCCUAUACCCGGCCGCCGGCGGCAGAAGGCGGCGUCUUUCGGGACGUCGCUGCGAAGCCCCGGUGAGUAGGAGGGUCGCGGCGGUGAGCGCAGAAGGGUCUGGGCGUGAGCCUGCCUGGAGCCACCGUCGGUGCAGAUCUUGGUGGUAGUAGCAAAUACUCCAGCGAGGGCCUGGAGGACUGAUGUGGAGAAGGGUUCCGUGUGAACAGCCGUUGCACACGGGUCAGUCGAUCCUAAGCCCUAGGCGAAAGCCGAUGCAGAUGGUCGUGGGAUGUCGCGAAUUUAAAAAAGUUCGCCUCGUCCGCCGGUCGCGGUUCAGCCGAGGCCUCUCUGAUCCAAAAUCCGCAGUGCAGACACCCGUUAAAAAGCUCACCCCGUCGACUAGCGAACCGCUUGCCACACGGUGCGCCGGCGACUCGGACUCUGGUUCGGCGUGCGAGACGAUCUCCCUGCUUCGGCAGAGAGCAAAGUCUUUGAACGCCUCCGCUUGUUCCGAUCGUCGCGCCGCACCCGAGGCCUCUUCGCGAAAGACGGGAGCGUAGACUAGGAGACUGUUCGCCACACGGUGCGCGGACGAUUCGCGGCGAGUUGAGCUGUGCGAGACGAUCUCCCUGCUUGAUUGCAGAGAGCAAAGUCUUUGAACGGCCUUCUCUUUCGCGUUCGUCGCUAACGCGCACACGCGGCGGCUGUCUGCGAAAAACGCGCGUGCAGUCUUUGAGACGUUCUUGGCUGCGGCCGUCGAGAGCUCCGAUGCCGAGUAGGCGAGUGCCCGCCACACGGUGCGCCGACGUUUCGGCGGGAUUCGGCGUGCGAGACGAUCUCCCUGUCUUCACCGACAGAGAGCAAAGUCUUUGAACGUCAUGUGAUCCCGUUUCGUUCGUCGUCACGCACACGCGGCGGCCUCGCCCAAAGGCGUCGGAUGUCUCUCGGCGUGCUAUGCGGACUGGAGAGUGCGAUAGGCGCGCGGCGCUAACGGCGGUCGCUGGCAAUGAGCUUUUCGCUUCUAGCACCCCGUCCGUCGGGCGAAAGGGAAUCCGGUUCCUAUUCCGGAACCCGGUUGCGGGACCGUUCUCUCGAUCCUCGUAUUGACGCGGUAACGCGAAAGACCCCAGAGAUGCCGUCUGGAGCCCCGGGAAGAGUUUUCUUUUCUGUUUGAGCGUUCGGGUUCCAUGGAAUCCUCUCGUAGGGAGAUAUGGAAUGGAGCGCGAAGAGCACCGCAGUUGCUGCGGUGUCCGGGGAGUCCCGUCGGCCCUUGAAAAUCUGGGUGAGGGUCACGUGGAGGCGCC